UACGGAGGAUGCAAGCGUUAUCCGGAAUGAUUGGGCGUAAAGCGUCCGCAGGUGGCUAUGUAAGUCUGCUGUUAAAGAGUGAGGCUCAACCUCAUAAAAGCAGUGGAAACUACAUGGCUAGAGUGCGUUCGGGGCAGAUGGAAUUCCGGGUGUAGCGGUGGAAUGCGUAGAGAUCCGGAAGAACACCGGUGGCGAAGGCGGUCUGCUGGGGUAAUGCUGACACUGAUGCGCGACAGCGUGGGGAGCAAACAGG
RNAcentral lists this ribosomal RNA (253 nucleotides) under uncultured bacterium. Its description in RNAcentral is "partial 16S ribosomal RNA". It matches the Rfam family "Bacterial small subunit ribosomal RNA", at positions 524 to 776 of the family's 1533-position model. The record is from RNAcentral.